GACGAACGCUGGCGGCGUGCUUAACACAUGCAAGUCGAACGGUAAGGCCCUUCGGGGUACACGAGUGGCGAACGGGUGAGUAACACGUGGGUGAUCUGCCCUGCACUUCGGGAUAAGCCUGGGAAACUGGGUCUCAUACCGGAUAGGACCACUGCCUGCAUGGGUGGUGGUGGAAAGCUUUUGCGGUGGGGGAUGGGCCCACGGCCUAUCAGACUGUUGGUGGGGUGAUGGCCUACCAAGGCGACGACGGGUAGCCGGCCUGAGAGGGUGACCGGCCACACUGGGACUGAGAUACGGCCCAGACUGCUACGGGAGGCAGCAGUUGGGAAUAUUGCGCAAUGGGCGCAAGCCUGAUGCAGCGACGCCGCGUGAGGGAUGACGGCCUUCGGGUUGUAAACCUCUUUCAGCACCGACGAAGCGCAAGUGACGGUAGGUGCAGAAGAAGGACCGGCCAACUACGUGCCAGCCGCCGCUGUAA
Molecule: ribosomal RNA, 478 nt
Filed under: uncultured bacterium
Lineage: Bacteria
Description: partial 16S ribosomal RNA
Rfam family: Bacterial small subunit ribosomal RNA
Source: RNAcentral